GGUCAAGUGAAGAAGCGCAUACGGUGGAUGCCUUGGCAGUCAGAGGCGAUGAAAGACGUGGUAGCCUGCGAAAAGCUUCGGGGAGUCGGCAAACAGACUGUGAUCCGGAGAUGUCUGAAUGGGGGAACCCAGCCAUCAUAAGAUGGUUAUCUUGUACUGAAUACAUAGGUGCAAGAGGCGAACCAGGGGAACUGAAACAUCUAAGUACCCUGAGGAAAAGAAAUCAACCGAGAUUCCCUUAGUAGUGGCGAGCGAACGGGGACCAGCCCUUAAGUUGUAUUGAGAUUAGCGGAACGUUCUGGAAAGGACGGCCAUAGUGGGUGAUAGCCCUGUACGCGAAAAUCCCUUUGCAAUGAAAUCGAGUAGGACGGGGCACGAGAAACCUUGUCUGAAUAUGGGGGGACCAUCCUCCAAGGCUAAAUACUACUGACUGACCGAUAGUGAACCAGUACCGUGAGGGAAAGGCGAAAAGAACCGCGGAGAGCGGAGUGAAAUAGAUCCUGAAACCGUAUGCGUACAAGCAGUGGGAGCCCACUUUGUUGGGUGACUGCGUACCUUUUGUAUAAUGGGUCAGCGACUUAUUUUCAGUGGCGAGCUUAACCGAAUAGGGGAGGCGUAGCGAAAGCGAGUCUUAAUAGGGCGUCUAGUCGCUGGGAAUAGACCCGAAACCGGGCGAUCUAUCCAUGGGCAGGUUGAAGGUUGGGUAACACUAACUGGAGGACCGAACCGACUACCGUUGAAAAGUUAGCGGAUGACCUGUGGAUCGGAGUGAAAGGCUAAUCAAGCUCGGAGAUAGCUGGUUCUCCUCGAAAGCUAUUUAGGUAGCGCCUCAUGUAUCACUGUAGGGGGUAGAGCACUGUUUCGGCUAGGGGGUCAUCCCGACUUACCAAACCGAUGCAAACUCCGAAUACCUACAAGUGCCGAGCAUGGGAGACACACGGCGGGUGCUAACGUCCGUCGUGAAAAGGGAAACAACCCAGACCGUCAGCUAAGGUCCCAAAGUCAUGGUUAAGUGGGAAACGAUGUGGGAAGGCUUAGACAGCUAGGAGGUUGGCUUAGAAGCAGCCACCCUUUAAAGAAAGCGUAAUAGCUCACUAGUCGAGUCGGCCUGCGCGGAAGAUGUAACGGGGCUCAAACCAUGCACCGAAGCUACGGGUAUCAUCUUUUGAUGAUGCGGUAGAGGAGCGUUCUGUAAGCCUGUGAAGGUGAGUUGAGAAGCUUGCUGGAGGUAUCAGAAGUGCGAAUGCUGACAUGAGUAACGACAAUGGGUGUGAAAAACACCCACGCCGAAAGACCAAGGUUUCCUGCGCAACGUUAAUCGACGCAGGGUUAGUCGGUCCCUAAGGCGAGGCUGAAAAGCGUAGUCGAUGGAAAACAGGUUAAUAUUCCUGUACUUCUGGUUAUUGCGAUGGAGGGACGGAGAAGGCUAGGCCAGCCUGGCGUUGGUNNNNNNNNNUUUAGAACACGAAGUGGUUGAUGCCAUGCUUCCAAGAAAAGCUUCUAAGCUUCAGGUAACCAGGAACCGUACCCCAAACCGACACAGGUGGUUGGGUAGAGAAUACCAAGGCGCUUGAGAGAACUCGGGUGAAGGAACUAGGCAAAAUGGCACCGUAACUUCGGGAGAAGGUGCGCCGGUGGAGGUGAAGCAUUUACUGCGUAAGCCCCUGCCGGUCGAAGAUACCAGGCCGCUGCGACUGUUUAUUAAAAACACAGCACUCUGCAAACACGAAAGUGGACGUAUAGGGUGUGACGCCUGCCCGGUGCCGGAAGGUUAAUUGAUGGGGUUAGCGCAAGCGAAGCUCUUGAUCGAAGCCCCGGUAAACGGCGGCCGUAACUAUAACGGUCCUAAGGUAGCGAAAUUCCUUGUCGGGUAAGUUCCGACCUGCACGAAUGGCGUAACGAUGGCGGCGCUGUCUCCACCCGAGACUCAGUGAAAUUGAAAUCGCUGUGAAGAUGCAGUGUAUCCGCGGCUAGACGGAAAGACCCCGUGAACCUUUACUAUAGCUUUGCACUGGACUUUGAAUUUGCUUGUGUAGGAUAGGUGGGAGGCUUUGAAGCGUGGACGCCAGUCUGCGUGGAGCCAACCUUGAAAUACCACCCUGGCAACUUUGAGGUUCUAACUCAGGUCCGUUAUCCGGAUCGAGGACAGUGUAUGGUGGGUAGUUUGACUGGGGCGGUCUCCUCCUAAAGAGUAACGGAGGAGUACGAAGGUGCGCUCAGACCGGUCGGAAAUCGGUCGUAGAGUAUAAAGGCAAAAGCGCGCUUGACUGCGAGACAGACACGUCGAGCAGGUACGAAAGUAGGUCUUAGUGAUCCGGUGGUUCUGUAUGGAAGGGCCAUCGCUCAACGGAUAAAAGGUACUCCGGGGAUAACAGGCUGAUACCGCCCAAGAGUUCAUAUCGACGGCGGUGUUUGGCACCUCGAUGUCGGCUCAUCACAUCCUGGGGCUGAAGCCGGUCCCAAGGGUAUGGCUGUUCGCCAUUUAAAGUGGUACGCGAGCUGGGUUUAGAACGUCGUGAGACAGUUCGGUCCCUAUCUGCCGUGGACGUUUGAGAUUUGAGAGGGGCUGCUCCUAGUACGAGAGGACCGGAGUGGACGAACCUCUGGUGUUCCGGUUGUCACGCCAGUGGCAUUGCCGGGUAGCUAUGUUCGGAAAAGAUAACCGCUGAAAGCAUCUAAGCGGGAAACUUGCCUCAAGAUGAGAUCUCACUGGAACCUUGAGUUCCCUAAAGGGCCGUCGAAGACUACGACGUUGAUAGGUUGGGUGUGUAAGCGCUGUGAGGCGUUGAGCUAACCAAUACUAAUUGCCCGUGAGGCUUGACCAU
Molecule: ribosomal RNA, 2825 nt
Filed under: Pseudomonas syringae
Lineage: Bacteria; Pseudomonadati; Pseudomonadota; Gammaproteobacteria; Pseudomonadales; Pseudomonadaceae
Description: 23S ribosomal RNA
Rfam family: Bacterial large subunit ribosomal RNA
Source: RNAcentral